Molecule: long non-coding RNA, 372 nt
Filed under: Hordeum vulgare
Lineage: Eukaryota; Viridiplantae; Streptophyta; Magnoliopsida; Poales; Poaceae
Description: long non-coding RNA (HVUL_LNC005603)
Source: RNAcentral
UGGCUAGCUUUGGUUGUUCUCAAGGAAAUAAAGAGACAUGAUGAACUUGCAAAUUAUAAAAAUGCAAGAAGAACAUUAAGAAAAUAGUGGCGUAGAGUUAGACCAAACCUGAUAUUUUUGCUUCUAUAAUUUGCUUUGCAAGGUCAUACAGGGAUCCAAGAAGUUCAUCUCUCCGUUCACAGUAUUCUUGGGCUAGCACACCAUGGUCCUACCCACGUUCAAAUUUGGCAGUUAAUAGACCAACAGCACGAGACGACAGAUGACAUACCUGCAAAUCCUGAUUCUCUCAAAAGCUCCAUCACAGAUGAUGCGAGACUCCUGAACCAACACAAAAUCAUGAAAUAAAUAAACUUUGGCAUGCAUUGUUCAAAC